CAGCCUGCCGCGUGUGUGAAGAAGGCCUUCUGGUUGUAAAGCACUUUAGUCAGGGAAGAACACUCCGUGGUUAAUACCCGUGGACGAUGACGUUACCUGCAGAAUAAGCACCGGCUAACUCUGUGCCAGCAGCCGCGGUUAUACAGAGGGUGC
Molecule: ribosomal RNA, 153 nt
Filed under: uncultured bacterium
Lineage: Bacteria
Description: partial 16S ribosomal RNA
Rfam family: Bacterial small subunit ribosomal RNA
Source: RNAcentral